UGAGUUAAUGGUUCUCACGCCUUGGAUUA
This 29-nucleotide non-coding RNA is filed under the name Rattus norvegicus (Norway rat). The record is from RNAcentral. Lineage: Eukaryota; Metazoa; Chordata; Mammalia; Rodentia; Muridae.